CUGCUUAACACAAGUUGAGUAGGGAAAGUUUUUCGGUGUAGGAUGAGACUAUAUAGUAUCAGCUAGUUGGUAAGGUAAUGGCUUACCAAGGCUAUGACGCUUAACUGGUCUGAGAGGAUGAUCAGUCACACUGGAACUGAGACACGGUCCAGACUCCUACGGGAGGCAGCAGUAGGGAAUAUUGCGCAAUGGGGGAAACCCUGACGCAGCAACGCCGCGUGGAGGAUGACACUUUUCGGAGCGUAAACUCCUUUUCUUAGGGAAGAAUUCUGACGGUACCUAAGGAAUAAGCACCGGCUAACUCCGUGCCAGCAGCCGCGGUAAUACGGAGGGUGCAAGCGUUACUCGGAAUCACUGGGCGUAAAGGGCGCGUAGGCGGAUUAUCAAGUCUCUUGUGAAAUCUAAUGGCUUAACCAUUAAACUGCUUGGGAAACUGAUAGUCUAGAGUGAGGGAGAGGCAGAUGGAAUUGGUGGUGUAGGGGUAAAAUCCGUAGAUAUCACCAAGAAUACCCAUUGCGAAGGCGAUCUGCUGGAACUCAACUGACGCUAAGGCGCGAAAGCGUGGGGAGCAAACAGGAUUAGAUACCCUGGUAGUCCACGCCCUAAACGAUGUACACUAGUUGUUGGGGUGCUAGUCAUCUCAGUAAUGCAGCUAACGCAUUAAGUGUACCGCCUGGGGAGUACGGUCGCAAGAUUAAAACUCAAAGGAAUAGACGGGGACCCGCACAAGCGGUGGAGCAUGUGGUUUAAUUCGAAGAUACGCGAAGAACCUUACCUGGGCUUGAUAUCCUAAGAACCUUAUAGAGAUAUGAGGGUGCUAGCUUGCUAGAACUUAGAGACAGGUGCUGCACGGCUGUCGUCAGCUCGUGUCGUGAGAUGUUGGGUUAAGUCCCGCAACGAGCGCAACCCACGUAUUUAGUUGCUAACGGUUCGGCCGAGCACUCUAAAUAGACUGCCUUCGUAAGGAGGAGGAAGGUGUGGACGACGUCAAGUCAUCAUGGCCCUUAUGCCCAGGGCGACACACGUGCUACAAUGGCAUAUACAAUGAGACGCAAUACCGCGAGGUGGAGCAAAUCUAUAAAAUAUGUCCCAGUUCGGAUUGUUCUCUGCAACUCGAGAGCAUGAAGCCGGAAUCGCUAGUAAUCGUAGAUCAGCCAUGCUACGGUGAAUACGUUCCCGGGUCUUGUACUCACCGCCCGUCACACCAUGGGAGUUGAUUUCACUCGAAGCCGGAAUACUAAACUAGUUACCGUCCACAGUGGAAUCAGCGACUGGGGUGAAGUCGUAACAAGGUAACCGUAGGAGAACCUGCGGUUGGAUCACCUCCUUUCUA
Molecule: ribosomal RNA, 1333 nt
Filed under: Campylobacter jejuni
Lineage: Bacteria; Pseudomonadati; Campylobacterota; Epsilonproteobacteria; Campylobacterales; Campylobacteraceae
Description: bacterial SSU rRNA
Rfam family: Bacterial small subunit ribosomal RNA
Source: RNAcentral